RNAcentral lists this ribosomal RNA (253 nucleotides) under uncultured bacterium. RNAcentral's name for it is "partial 16S ribosomal RNA". It matches the Rfam family "Bacterial small subunit ribosomal RNA", at positions 524 to 776 of the family's 1533-position model. The record is from RNAcentral.
UACGUAGGUGGCAAGCGUUAUCCGGAAUUAUUGGGCGUAAAGCGCUCGCAGGCGGUUUCUUAAGUCUGAUGUGAAAGCCCACGGCUCAACCGUGGAGGGUCAUUGGAAACUGGGAGACUUGAGUGCAGAAGAGGAGAGUGGAAUUCCACGUGUAGCGGUGAAAUGCGUAGAUAUCGAGAGGAACACCUGCGGCGAAGGCGGGUUGCUGGGCUGAUACUGACGCUGAGGCGCGAAAGCCAGGGGAGCGAACGGG